GACGAACGCUGGCGGCGUGCUUAACACAUGCAAGUCGAACGGAAAGGCCCUGCUUUUGUGGGGUGCUCGAGUGGCGAACGGGUGAGUAACACGUGAGUAACCUGCCCUUGACUUUGGGAUAACUUCAGGAAACUGGGGCUAAUACCGGAUAGGAGCUCCUGCUGCAUGGUGGGGGUUGGAAAGUUUCGGCGGUUGGGGAUGGACUCGCGGCUUAUCAGCUUGUUGGUGGGGUAGUGGCUUACCAAGGCUUUGACGGGUAGCCGGCCUGAGAGGGUGACCGGCGACAUUGGGACUGAGAUACGGACCAGACUCCUACGGGAGGCAGCAGUGGGGAAUAUUGCACAGUGGGCGGGAGCCUGAUGCAGCAACGCCGCGUGCGGGAUGACGGCCUUCGGGUUGUAAACCGCUUUCGCCUGUGACGAAGCGUGAGUGACGGUAAUGGGUAAAGAAGCACCGGCUAACUACGUG
RNAcentral lists this ribosomal RNA (468 nucleotides) under uncultured bacterium. RNAcentral describes it as "partial 16S ribosomal RNA". It matches the Rfam family "Bacterial small subunit ribosomal RNA", at positions 28 to 507 of the family's 1533-position model. The record is from RNAcentral.